UACAGAGGUCUCGAGCGUUAGGCGGAAUCACUGGGCUUAAAGCGUGUGUAGGCGGAUCGGUAAGUACCUUGUGAAAUCCCACAGCUUAACUGUGGAACUGCUUGGUAUACUGCCAGUCUUGAGCCAGCUAGGGGCUACCGGAACAAAUGGUGGAGCGGUGAAAUGCGUAGAUAUUGGGAGGAACACCAGUGGCGAAGGCGGCUCACUGGACCGGUUCUGACGCUGAGGCGCGAAAGCGUGGGGAGCAAACGGG
RNAcentral lists this ribosomal RNA (253 nucleotides) under uncultured bacterium. RNAcentral describes it as "partial 16S ribosomal RNA". It matches the Rfam family "Bacterial small subunit ribosomal RNA", at positions 524 to 776 of the family's 1533-position model. The record is from RNAcentral.